GACCACUGUAAAUAAACACACUUCUUCUGAGUCUGUGCUUGAGUCCACCAGCCUGCUAGCCUUGACAGAAUGAUCCAGCCACAACAUGGUUUCAGCAAACGCUAACCCACUUCUCAAUGCCUUUGAACCACCCAAACAACCUCUCCCCACACCAGAGGUGUUAUCGGUUUCCCAGCAUGCCUCAGGAGUGGAGGUGUAUGAGGGGGCGGAGUCUGUCCUGCUGCCCUGUCAGGUACCAGCUGAUGCUUCCAGGAGCUCCACAGCAGCAGUGUGGGACCGUGAGGAGCUCAGUAACCCAAC
Molecule: long non-coding RNA, 300 nt
Organism: Oreochromis aureus
Lineage: Eukaryota; Metazoa; Chordata; Actinopteri; Cichliformes; Cichlidae
Source: Ensembl